AGUCAUAUGCUUGUCUCAAAGAUUAAGCCAUGCAUGUCUCAGUACAAGCCAAAUUAAGGUGAAACCGCGAAAGGCUCAUUAAAUCAGUUAUGGUUCCUUAGAUCGUACCCACACUUACUUGGAUAACUGUGGUAAUUCUAGAGCUAAUACAUGCAAAUAGAGCUCCAACCGGAGACGGAAGGAGCGCUUUUAUUAGAUCAAAACCAAUAGGCGGCGGUUCGCGCCGUCGCCGUUCUCUUUGGUGACUCUGAAUAACUUAUUGCUGAUCGCACGGUCUCGCACCGGCGACGCAUCUUUCAAAUGUCUGCCUUAUCAACUGUCGAUGGUAGGUUCUGCGCCUACCAUGGUUGUAACGGGUAACGGGGAAUCAGGGUUCGAUUCCGGAGAGGGAGCCUGAGAAACGGCUACCACAUCCAAGGAAGGCAGCAGGCGCGCAAAUUACCCACUCCCGGCACGGGGAGGUAGUGACGAAAAAUAACGAUACGGGACUCAUCCGAGGCCCCGUAAUCGGAAUGAGUACACUCUAAACCCUUUAACGAGGAUCAAUUGGAGGGCAAGUCUGGUGCCAGCAGCCGCGGUAAUUCCAGCUCCAUAGCGUAU
Molecule: ribosomal RNA, 600 nt
Filed under: Tympanogaster modulatrix
Lineage: Eukaryota; Metazoa; Arthropoda; Insecta; Coleoptera; Hydraenidae
Description: SSU rRNA
Rfam family: Eukaryotic small subunit ribosomal RNA
Source: RNAcentral